Molecule: small nucleolar RNA, 91 nt
Organism: Varanus komodoensis (Komodo dragon)
Lineage: Eukaryota; Metazoa; Chordata; Lepidosauria; Squamata; Varanidae
Source: Ensembl
UUCCUCCAGUGAUGUUCAGCACUGGGCACAGAAUACUAUGACGACGACAGUGCCUCCCAUGACUUUGACAUCACGGGGGACUGAGGAGUAG